GUGACCCAAUAAUAAUUAUGUUUUAGGAGGUGACCCUGGCCAAUGGCAUAUAAGACAGCCCAGAGGAGAAAGAGUGGUAAGGGAAAGCAUUUAGGACACUGUGGCAGCAGGCUAUAGAAGUCCUAAUUAAGGUUGAACUAGAGUUGUGGAAUUAGGAAUGAAGAAAAGAGGACAGAUGCAAGAGACAUCAUUGAGGAAGGAUCAACAAGUCUUGACAGUUUGGCUGUAAGGACAGGUGGUUGGGGGCAUGCAGUGACGGGAGGGGUGAGGAGAAAUCCUAGGUGGUUCCAGGGUUUCCAUUUGAGUAAAACGUGUCCCAUUAACAGAAAGGAAAAUUGAAAGGAGGAAUGGGUUUUGCAGGGAAGAUACUGAGUUUUAAGGUAUCAACAAGGUGCCCAGGUAAUAUUGUUGAGCAGGCAGCUGGAAUUUGGGGACUGAAGCUUAAGAAUGAGGUUAUAGCUGGAUAUGUAAACAUAAGUCGUCCUUGAAGUGAUGAUAAUUUAAGCCUGUGUACUUCAAACUUUAGCCUUUUGAGUGCUACUUAAAAGCUUUUUGCCAUACUUAACCAAUACUUAUACUCUUACUUAACAUUUAAAAAUCUGUUUUAAAUUAACUCACUUUUUAAAAGCACAGCCCAUUCUAAGGGACUUCCCUGGUGGUACAGUGGUUAAGAAUCCGCCUGCCAAUGCAGGGGACACAGGUUCGAGCCCUGGCCCAAGAAGAUCCCACGUGCCGUGGAGCAGCUAAACCCUUGCACCACAACUACUGAGCCUGCGCUCUAGAGCCCACGAGCCACAACUACUGAGCCUGUGUGCCACAACUACUGAAGCCCACAUGCCUAGAGCCCGUGCUCCACAACAAAAGAAGCCACCGCAAUGAGAAGCCUAUGCACCACAACGAAGAGUAGCCCCUGCUCGCCACAACUAGAGAAAGCCCGCACGCAGCAACGAAGACCUAAGGCAGCCAAAAAAUAAAUUAACUAAUUAAAAAUAAAUAAAUAAAAGCAUAACCCAUUCUAAAUAAUAAUAUCUGUGAAAUCUGUGAGUUUGAUGUGAUGGAUAUAGUUUUUUAAAAUACCCAUGAAAAUAAAUGCAUAAUUACCAUGUUUCAUGAUUGUAAGAUGCACAUCUUUUCACAAUUUAACGUUUCCGAAAUUGGGGUGUUUUACAGUUGAUGGCAUCUUACAAACUCUUUUGGCCAGGCAGCGGUGGAGAUAUACUUGUCAUUGUCAGUACAUGAGCCAAUUUGGCAUGCGUGAAAAACUGCAGUCUCUCAACGUUUCAGUCAACAAACCAUUUAAAGAUCUUUAGAGAAAAGAGUAUAAGUUUUAACUGUUGUCUGAGAACCUGACUUUCUGGUACAAAGAAGAAAGCAUGGAGACUUGCAGAAUGAGUAUCAGCACCAUGGAAGAGAAUCCCAGAGAGAGUAGUUAAGACAUUUAAGAAAUGUCACAUCCCUGAUACUCCUGAUGGCUCCGAGGAUAUCAAUGACCGUGAGCUGAAAAGUGGUUCAGAAGAGUUGGACACUGAUUGUGAGAACAAUUUAGGAAAACCUUCACCCAUUUGUUUUGCUUAUAUCUCCCUCUGUGCAUGCACAGGAGUGAUGUAUAAAAAAACUCUCUGAGCAAUCUAAAAGAUCUUUUGAAUAAGUAUAAACUUAAAAUUUUAAGUGAUAAGAAAGCAUUGUGUCAUAAUUUAAUUGGCAGCCGCUUUCUAAGUAGUAUAUUUUAAAUGGUGCGUCUUAUGGUGGGUGCCGUCCAAGGUUAGAUUAAACAAAGUAUCCAAAUAAAAAAAUGUCAGUUCAUGUUCCACUUAAAGUCAUCUCAUAAAUACUACUUUAUGGAAGCACAUUUAAGCCAGGGGAAUAAAUAAGAUCACCAAGAGAAUAUUUAUACAGAAGAAAAGAGCCUUAGGACGCUGAGGAAAGUCUGCAUUUCAUGGGAGAGAGAGGAGUCAGGGUGUGUAAAGAGGGUGAGUGGAUGACUCCUGGCAGUGCAGCGUCAUGGAAGCCUUAGAAGGAGAGAGGUUUUUUUUUUUCAAGAAAGAGAAGUAACUGAGAAAAAUCCAAUACUUCAGAAGACCUGGAGAGCAUUCAAAAAGAUAGGAAGUGGUGGCUUUGAGGGGUCGGAGAGCAUGAAUAGUGGGGAAGUUGGUCCUAGACUUUUCUUUUUAAGAAAAAGUGAGUAGAGAAAUAAAAACGGUGAGGACUGAUAAGGAUCAGAGUUAAUAUUUUUUUCCUUAAGCCUGAGAGCCCUGGGCAUGUUUUGGGAACAAGAGGUAGGAACUGGUAGAGACGUAGUGAUGCCAAUAUGAAGAAAAGUAACUGCCCAUUUCAGGACCUGACGACGUGCAAAGGGGUGGAAUCAACAGCACGCAUUGAAGAGGUAACCUUAAACGCUUCCUCAGAAGCAGGGGUGAAGGAAGAGGGAGGUAGAGUGGAUUUUGAAUAAUGUUGAGUUCUAAAGGAGAGAACUUCAGAAGGUUCGUCAUGAUCCCAAACAAGGAACCCCGUUACUCCCUGACAGUGAAGGACAGGGUCAGGGGCUUGGAAGGAGGUGGGAAGGGCUCAGAAUAGUUGCUGUAGGAAAUGUCAAGGGGACUCAGCACGAGCUGAGUCAGAGGUGGCUGAGUUACCGUGAGUGCCCAGCUGAGGUCUGGGCGCACAAGUCUGGAGCGGGCUCACUAGUGUGGUCUCGCAGGUCUCCCCAGGAUUGCUUGGCAGACAGGAGUAGGAGCCAAGAAAGCAAACAGUGGAAAGUCGCCGCCUGUUGAGAACUGGCAGAGUAGGCAUGACAGGAGAACAAAGAGGAGCGAUGGUAGGGUAGCAGUGAGUGCAAAGUUGGAAUGGCUAACCGUGGGAGGUGGGCCAGAUGGGGAGGCAGUGGGAGGCCAAAUCAGGGUGAUGGACAGGAAGAAAAGGGGGGCCCUGGGUGAUUGACACUCACAGUGUACACAGAGAACCAGGAGGCAAGAGAAGGAAUGUGAGAAUCCAGUUGGCUGAAUGGAGAUGUGGAGGACUUCAAGAGGUUUUAAAAAUAGAAGACUUAGCAAUAAUUAUGUACCAGAAUUAUAAACGUACAUGUCUUCUUAGAGGGCAGUUUAUAGCCUGGUGGUUAAUAGCAGUAGAUUUGGAUUUAAAUCCAAGCCCAGCUAGCAUUUACACACUCACUGUAUGACCGCUUGAACAUAAAUUUUCCUUCCCCACAUCCACUCUGCUUUGUUUCUUGGAUGACAGACUCUGUAUGGACCACACCAAUGGGCUCCCUUGCCCUCUGGGUUCCAAUUAGGUUCACCCAGUGGGGAGCGCUGGCAGGACACGGAACACAGGGAGGAAAGGAAGGUCGGGGUAUGGAUUCUGCCAGCUCUCUUCCUGUGGUAUUGCACUGAACUGGCUGCAUCCGUCUCCAAGGCUGUUUCUUUCAGAGUCCUGGUAACCACUUCCUGCCCUCCCACUUUAAGCCUAGCGGUUGUAACUUGCCCACUGUUAGCUUGUCCCAGGCUAAUGUGCCAGGCCUUGUGGAUUCCCACACCUUUUAAAUAGUCGCUUUAUUAAAGACUGCUUAAAUUACCUAAUUUGAUUAUGUGGCCUAUUUUCUAUUGGGACUCUGAUAAAAUCACCUUGGGCAAGUUACUUAGGCUUUCAGCCUCACUUUUCUAAUCUGCAAGAUUGAGAUAAUAAUAGUACCCACUUCACAGGUUUAGUAGAAGGAUUAGAUAUGAUAAUGUAAAAUCCUUACACAAUGCAGGGCAUAUAGUACGCCCUUAAUAAAUGAUGAUGAUGUAUGAUAGACUCUGGAAUUUCCAUUUAUCCAUGUAUAGAUUUAUGGAGAUCUAUAGAUCAGGGACAGAAUGUUUGUGUUAGCAGGUAGCAUUUCCUGCCCACCAGUGGCAGAAUUGAAGGGGCAGAUUGGAGAAGGAGAAACUCUCCAAGCUCCCUCCUCCCAAAGGCAUUUUAGAUGGAUGGGUCACAACUUAAUUUGUGGGGAGAAGUGAAAUACGCAAAGUACUCACCACUACAAUUGGAAUAUCUUUAACAUACAGUCUAAGUAAAAAAUAGCGUGCUUGAUGUGCAAGUGCAGCUUCAAGACAAUUUCUCUGACCCUCUCCUCCUUGACACACCUUUCAUAGCCCCUGGAAAUUGUAGAGCCAUCGCUGGUCUUCUUGAUUGUGGAGGCUUCUCUGGUUUUCCUGAUUAUAUGGCUAAUUGAAACCGUUGAACGCAUGGCUGUGCCUUUUAGGUGGCACAGAAGUAGUGGUUUUUAAAACUGGGUUCAAGAACAACUUUGGUAGAGGAGCAGCUCUGAAACUCUUACCUUCUUUCAUUUGUUAUGACUUAACAAGGCAAUGCUUAGACUUGGUUAAGUGUUCUGAAUUAUUAAGCCAUAAUAGCAAUGCUGUCUUCUACUUGGUUAGAGCCUUAUAAUUUGAAAGUGUUUUUAGUCACUUUUCAAAAGUGGAGACGUCGUCAUGUUGUAAACAUGAAGCCUCUGUGAGGCCAGCCACCAGGAGGCCACCAUCAUGCACCAGACUUUGAAGGACACCAGUGAGUAUAUCUGUCUUAUUUAUAACAACCUCCAGGAAAAUAAAGACUGCAAACCUCCAUCAACUCAAGUUGACCACUGACCGUGAUACUCAGGAAGGGAGGCAUUUUUGCUGAUACAUGUAUUCACACAUAUUCACAUGUAUUCACCGGAGCACUUCUGUAAACUUCACAGAUCGUUUAAAUGGUCACGUUUCAUGUCCUAUAUGCAUGUAGGCACCUUACAGAGAUAAAGCCGGAAAGGGGUCAUAGUAAAAGGGUAAACAGUGAUCAAGAGCAGGCUUCCCAUGGCUCAGCUGGUGCUUUCAUGAUUCUCUUGUGCUUUUUGGCCCUGGGUGCUGCCGACAACAGCAGAGGAUGCCUGUGGCUGUGCUCACCUGGGCACCAUAUGGGGUUUUAAACCCGGGGUAACAACUUCCGUUUGCUAAGUCUUGUUAUUCACUCUCUCAGGCCCCUAAAUUUGCUUUCGAAAACCCUCAAAUCCGGAUGCCCUUUCUGCGUGGGAUAUAUUUAUGUGUAUAUCUGCUUUAUCAGGAAUGUGGUUGCAUUCAGGUCUGUUGUCCUAAGCGCCUUUGUCGGUAGCUGCAUUCCAUGCAGUUCGGUCUUUCAGCCCCACGUAUUUACUAACUAUUCAAAUGCCUUGUGGUAUUCACACACAGAUUAUGUAAAAUAAAAAAAAUACAUUAUUAAGGCAGUGGAUGCUGUGAAUGGAUUAUUACAAUUUGCCUAUCAUGGUAAUGGCACCUGUUAGAGGUGUGAUACAAAAGGCAGUGACAGGCAGUGUAAUUUAGUAAUUGUGGCCAUUGUACCGUAUGGCUGAUCAGUUCACCAGGCAAGUACAAAGGAAGCAGUGUUAUAGCAGAGCAGGGGUGCGUACGCUUAAUAGAGAGAGCUAGUUGUGUACUGAAAGAGACUUUUGGUGGAGGGCUAACUCCCAGGGGGCAACUUCGAAUGAGUUGAAAAGAAUGAACAAAAGUACAAAAAUGGUACAGGUUUUCCUAUUUCAGCUCUUAAAGUGACAGACGAGUUACGUUGGUGCACGUUGCCAGCACUUUCUUCUACUGCCAGAGUAGCUUUUUUUUUCAAAAUACUCCAAGUUGCCUUGUCAUAUGGCAGUCACAUCUAAUGUACCCUUUUCUUCUCCUAUAUGUAAAACAUUCUGUGUCAAAGUUCAGAUCUAACUGGCGUAGGGGGGCAAAUUCACUGAAGUUUGAGAAAACCAUUUGUUUACAGUCUACAACAGUAUUUAAAGAGCACGUAACUGCAGAUUCAGAAAAGAUACAAGUUUAUAUAUCCUCUUCCUCUAUUAAUUUCCCUGCUCUCCUUAGCAUUAUGUUAAUAUCAUGGGUGGUUUUGCUACUAGUCUGAAAAUUCUAGCGUACUACCAGUCAGUGUAAUUCAGGCCGAACUUGGGCAUCAGAAUAGGUUACAGAAAUUAAUAGGAAGAAUUUAUAAAGUAUAUUUUUCUCCUUACCUCAAGAACUCAUGAAGUCUAGCCGUUUCUCAUGGCUUUACUGAGAAAUACUUGAGAGGAGAAUGAGGGAAAGCACAGUAAAAAGGACCAAAUAUGCCAAGAUGACUUUUGUAUCUCAAAAUAAUAUGUCCUGUGUACCCUGAUGCCAGAUGGACCACCAUGCGUCACUCCCCUGUGAUGUCAGGCAGAGUAUACCUGUGAUGUUAGGUAGAGUAUAGAAUGUGCCUUUGGAAACAGCAGCUUCCUCCACCUGUUUCUUAACUUGCUUUAUUGUCCCUGUUCAAAUUGUGAUUGACAACAAACUGAGCUUUUCUCAGGGUGGAUAUUGAAUACUUUUUAUGGGCCGGGCAACGUACGAAGCUCUUUAUAAGCAUUUCCACAUUUAAUCUUUGCACCAAUCUUUGGAGUAUAGGUAGAAUUACUAUCCCCACUGAACAGAUAAGGAAACAGAGCCUCAGGGAGGUUCCAUAGCGUCCUUCUAUGCAGUGAGUUGGGAUGAUGUAUCCACAUUCUCUCCAUGUUUAUGUAUGUUUUUAUAUCUCUCUAGAGAGGGAGAGAGAUAUAUAGAAAAACAGUACACUUAGUUCUAAGUAUCCAUGUUAUAUUUGUAGUGAAGGUUGACAGGGUUUUGAAAAUAGAAUUGCAAAAAAUUAGUCAUAAGAUUCCAGAAUCUUAUCAUGGAAUAAAAUAUGAGCAUUGUGUCCCACAGUCAUUUUAGUAGCACGGGCUACAUGAGCUAAGUCCUUUAUUAAAGGUGGAUCAACUUGUAGAAUAUAUAAUGCUACGGGGAGCCAGCCCAGUUUUAAUAAAGGGGACACACAGAAGAAAAUGUAUACUACAAAAUGUCGAUUCACAUCUCAACUUGUAUAAAUAGUGUUGCAGACAGUACUAGACAUGUGUGAAUGGGUGAGGUAUGCCACUGUUCGGAAUCACUCAUGCAAGGGCUUUGGCCAUCAGCCCGACGAAACGGGCGUGCCACUUAAGAGGGUGCCAGCUGAAUAGAUGGAGUUGUAUGAUACUUAAAACAUGAUUCUGUACUAGUGCUACAUAGAACAACGAUUACAGCUUGUUACUUUUCUUUGCGCCAGUUUUGACAUCUGAACAUUUUUAACUGAAAAAGAAUGUCAUUUUCAUGAAAGAACUUCCUGUACAACAAAGUUAGCAUUUAUAGUCAUCCUAACAUAUGAAAUGAUUUGAUAAGCUCGAAUAUUCUAAUAGGCAGAAGUUUCCUUUUUCUGCUUCCUAGAAAUCAUUCCAAAGUUUGCAGAGUAGCCAUGGGGAAAGAUAUAGGGGUUUAUUUCUGGCAUCAAGUUGUACAAAGAAACAACAAAGUUAUGGAUUUUGGGGGGAGGGUGCUUGUGUCACGCGCCCUCCUCCGCCUCUGCAUCAUAAUUCAGUAACUAUGGAGAGAAUUAGCAUACCGACAGAGCGCAUGUAAACAGUAUUCUACAUCUGUAAUCUAGCACUCAAGCAGAGAAAGCAUUGGGUGUUUUGGACAGACAGAAGCAGAAUCAGAUAUCAAUAUUCUCUAGUUUAAAGACUGCACUUACGUCUGAUAAAACCACCUGGGUUUCCUCAGCGGCUGAGGUCAGGGAUGGCGGCCGCAGACCCGUGUGCCCAUCAGACUGCUGGAGUCAAGUCCUCUGUUUGUGUACAAUGUAUAAAUGGGAAUGUGGGUAAACACUGCCCUCUCCAACCGCAUAAUUACGUCGAUUGCUGAAAAAACCCAGAAGUGCACCAAAAUAUCACAGGGAAGCUAUUUCUAACACGACUUUGCUCUUUAUGGCUAAGUGGCAGCCACUGUUUUUUUUUUUUUUCCCUUCUAAAUUAUGUGUUCUUGUUUCAAGCAUUUAGAUGAUGCAAAACAGAUUUUUGUGGCAACAUUCUUUUUCGCAGCCAAAAAAGCAUUCAAGGAAGAGCUGUACUCCGCCCAAGUUGCUAUUUAUUCUGGACCUUUUGUGUUAUCGGCAUAAACUCAUUUCAUUUAGAAAAGAGAAAUAACCUACUUUGGAUUGUUUUUUAGAACUGCUAAUAAUGCCAGUAAAAUAUCUAACAAUGAUGGGAAAUGGAAGUCUUCAAAUGAUCAGUCAGAAAGGAAGACGAAUAAAUGAACGUAAUAGGUGCAAAAAAUAAUAACCUUUCUCUUUAUGGUUUUUCAGAAUGCUCAGAAUAAAGCAGAUUCUUUCCCACAGAGACCUACUAAUUCUUCAUCCAUAAAAUAAAGGGUAACUUUGCGAUUGCCUAUGACCUCUAAUCUCAAAAGCAAGUCAUAGUUUUAUUAUCAGUCUUUUAACAUCCACUUCCUUAUCUCUCUGUCCUCCUCUCCAUUUUUUUUCCUCUGUCUCUGCUGCUUUUCUCUGGAUCCCUCCCCCUCCUCUUGCCAAUCUCCUUAGAAACAAUUGCAGUUAGCAGAGUCGGAAGUCAAAACAGUUAUUCUCAUAGCCAUGGUAAAAAAGACCAAAGUAAACAAAUUCACAAUUUCUCAUUUCCAACAUCUCCAUUUUGCACAUCCUAUUAUCAUGGCACUUAGUUUUAGGGUAACCACUGGUGAUUUAGUUGUCUAAAAAUGGCCAGUGGUUUUUUAGCAGCAAACAUGUUUUAUUCUUUCACGGACCUUGAAAUUUAAACUCAGAAAUUCCACAUCCAUACACUUAGCUUGUCCUAGCACCAUCCAUUUAUAUAUGUAGGUUCCUGUUUUUCAUUUGUUUGUCUGACUUUCUUAGGCUUUAGAUUUAGGAUCUGAGUAGGGUAUCAUAUGUUUCAAUGGGCCCUGAUGCCCAUUGAUGAAUAUAUCUUUUAAUAGGUAUUAUAAUUAAUUGUUGCAAGAAUGCUUCAGUUACAUCAGAUUUGUUGGAAAUUAUUACUUUUCGGUUUCUGGUGUUGCUAAAAGCAUAUUCAACGUUCCUCAGCUCUAUAAAUGUUCUUAGUGAAUGCUCUUUUCCCAAAAUUCAUGUAACACAUUUAAUACUUGCCAUGUACCUACCAUCGCAAUAGUUACUGUGAAGACCUCAGAGGAGUAUAUGUUCUCAAGCGUCUAUAACACAGAGAAAGAAAGUUAAACAAUAUCAUACUAAAAACUGGGAUGGAAACUGGCACAGAGACUAAAAAAGAAUAUGACUAAGGGAAAGGAAUUGGAAAGAAUAUCAAGGGAAAAGGACCUAGCUCUAACUGUUACACAUUAAUGAAGAGGAAAAAAGAAAGUUUAAUAAACUUUGAUGAAGGAGAACCUGUAAAGUGGUAUGUUAAAUGGAAUUCUCUGAAAUUCGAUAUCAAAAGAUACCUUUGCAGAAAAUGUUGAAAAUUUAAUACUAUUAAGUUACACUUCUUAGAGAACUAAAUGUAACGAGCACAUUAUCUAGGGCUGCUCCCAUAAUUUGGAUGGCUUAAUUAGUAAAUGCACAAAUACAGCUAUACUCAGAAUUAGAUUCCAACUGAUAUAACUGAAAUUAUAAAAAUGUAUUACAAACAAGUAGUAGGAUUUUUUGAAGGUUAUUUUUCCCUCAACGUUUGAGAGGAAAGUGACUUUUAGACUUGCCUUCUUCCCCUCCCUCCAAAUUCCUGAACUGUUUUAAGUGCCUCUGAUGCUUUCUUACAGCCUUAAUGCAUUGUUUUAAUGAGGAGAAGGGUGUUUGUGUGUGCAUGUUUGUGUUUUACCCUUAAACUGUGCUUUGUUGGUUUUAGUAAAAUAAAGUUGAAAAGCCACAUCUUUCCCAUUGAAAUGAAAUUAAAAACCACUGCAGCUCUGAUGUCAUGAAAGAAAAAUGAGGGGGAUUUAGACAGGAAAAUUGUGCAAAGAAAACUUUAUGAGGCUUUUAAAGGAGCUGAUACAGUGUCUUCUAACUUGAACUAAGCUGCACUUGUGUGUUCAGUGUAUGUGUCUACAUUGAAUGUACUUUUAUGAAAAGAAAGAGUAGACAAGCAACAGAAAUAUAUACGGAGAUAUGAGUGGCCUGGAGCAAAAAGCAAUAAAUGUAGUUUUUCCAGCUCCUCCAAAAAAGCUGCAAUUUAGGCCAUAUCAUUACAAAGUUUUUUUCCUUUUGAAAAAAAUGACUAAUUUCUAAAGCAAAUCCAUACUAAAAAGUAGUACAUGUAAUAAGUUUCAGAGUAUUACUUCAGGAUAGUAUGUACAUAGGAAAUAUCACUUGUUGAAUGUUUGAAGUCAUUCAGUGAAAGACUGAAAAUGUUAUGUUGUAACACGUUUGAUAAUUAUGCUUAUUCAGUUCGGAGCUACUUUUAUGUUUUCCUUUGAAAAGAAUGCUAAUACCCUCUUAUAAAUUGAGACCAUAAAGAAGGAUGAGGCUGUGCUUCGUUCCGAAUGGUUUAAAGGCAGCCUCUUUCUGAGUCUUUCUUAGAACUGCAGGUAGGAAGUAGCGGUGAGUAGUAAUGCGUGAACCAUAAGUUUUAUGAGCUCUGCCAGUCCGUAUGCUUCAUACAGUCUGUCAUUGUGUAGGGCUUGAAUGCAUUAUAAUAUGUGUUCAACACGUCCUCUUAACUGGCAGCGUUAACUUCCGUGCACGUCAUCACUGUGUCAUGAGUUUGUUUAAUCACGUUGCUCCUUUAUUCUAGGCUUUGUGUAGCUCUCUUACCUCCCCUCUCACCUUCAGUCAUGCUCAGAACCCAGUUCCUGGCAGGAAGGGAGAUAUUUAUUUCAGUCAGAAACAUCCAUGCAGCUUUCUAUAAUCACUUUGCCUGUAGAUUUCAACCCUAUGCUUCUUCAUCUUUUCUUUUCUUCAAAGUUUUACAUUGAAAGGGCAAAUGUGGAAGAUUUUUGCUUCUAAGGAAACUUUUAUUUGCCUUAAUUAUUGUGUCUGAGAACUGGUUUGUCUUUAUAAAAUUAAAACCUCUUUCCCCUUAGAAAUGGAGGAGGGGGGAGGAGGGGAAAUGAAUUGCAGAGAAUAACAUCUCACUUAUCUAAAAAUAAUAGUAAGGAGAAUAGCUAACAUUUGUCAAGCACUCACGAUGUUUAGACAGUGUUCUUAGUACUUUACAUGUGUCAGGUCUUCACAACAACCCUCUGAAGUAGGUAUCAUUUUUGUCCCCAUUUAUAGUGAGGAAGCCGCAGAGAGUUUGGUAACUUACUGAAAGCAGCACUACUAGAAAACGGUAGAGCGGGGAUUUGAACCAGCACUCUGGCAUCAGAAUCUGAAUUCUUGACCAGGAAAUUAUUACUACACACACAAGUAUUAAGUCAUAAGAGAAAAAAAUUUAUGUUGCGAAAGCCUGAAUUUAUUUCACGAGAAUUGCAAUGUGCAUUUCCUUAAAGAUGAUGAUUUAUAGUUUUCUUCCUUUUUAUAGAUUUAAUGUGUAUAGGGAUUGAAGGGCCAAACCUUAAUGUUAGGGUGCUAUUUAAGUGUAGAUUUCUAGUUGUCAUGAUACAAUAUUUUUGUACUCAGAAUAUGAACUCAGUAACUGAACAUAGCUUACUUUUCCACCAGGUUGUUUUUGCCCUAAUCUCUAUUAGGGGUAUUUGAGUCCUAGCCAUGUUUCUGAUGUUUAGCAAGAGAUGAAAGUUGGUAGCCACUCAAAAGCCUAUACGUGGAGCCGUAACCACCUCCUGCUGUCAAGAUAAAAUCCAGACAUCUCAGGCUGGUGUUCAAGACUCUCAAGCUCCUUCCCCAUAUUUCCCAACAUCUAUGCUCCAUCCAUAUCUGAUUAUCUGAUUAUCCUGCAAAUUACUUGGCAUGGUGGACAGAAUGGACCCCUGAAGAUGUCCACGACCUAAUCCCUGGAACCUGAGAAUAUUUUACAAUACAUGACAAAAGAGACUUUGCAGAUGUAAUUAGAGAGCUUAAGAUGGGGAGAGUUUCCUAAACUUGAUGGGCCCAAUCUAGCCACAUGAACUCUUUUAAGCAAAGAACUUUCUCUGGCUGGAGGCAGAAGAGAAUUAAGCCAAAGGAGAAGUUGGUGAGAUUUGAAGUGUAAGAAGGACUCAGUGUACCUUUGCUGGUUUAAAGGCAGAAGGAGCAAUGCGAUGAGGAAUACAGACAGUGUAAGGGGCUAAGAGAGGUCUCUGGCUGAUAACCAAUAGUAAAGCAUAGACCUCAGUCCUACAACCACAAGGAACUGAGUUUGGCCGACAACCUGAAAGAGUUUCAAAGUAGAUUCAUCUCCAGAACCUCCAGAAAUGAAUGCAGCCCUGGCAACACCUUGAUUUUGACAUUGUAGGACCCAGAGCAGAGGAAGCAGCCAUGCCCACCUGGACUUCUCACCUUUAGAACUGUGCAAUAAUAAAUUUGUGUUGUUUUAAGCCGUAA
Molecule: long non-coding RNA, 12267 nt
Organism: Orcinus orca (killer whale)
Lineage: Eukaryota; Metazoa; Chordata; Mammalia; Artiodactyla; Delphinidae
Exons: 2
Source: RefSeq, a predicted model, not a curated record